RNAcentral lists this long non-coding RNA (277 nucleotides) under Setaria viridis. RNAcentral's name for it is "long non-coding RNA (SVIR_LNC008681)". The record is from RNAcentral. Lineage: Eukaryota; Viridiplantae; Streptophyta; Magnoliopsida; Poales; Poaceae.
CGCAGAGUGACAGGACAUUCCUUGGUUCUACGCACACUCCUACAACUCAGGGAGGAUGCGAACUGGCAUCGGCAGAGCUUUUCAGAGCAAGCAGGGACACACCUGAACUUCGUGCACCAUCAACUCUCCAUGGUAGUAGCGAUCCAGUGCAUCUGAGCACUAUGCUUUCCCGUAGUGCUUCCAAUUUGCCUCCUAUUCCCGGGCACCACUACUGAUUCUUCAAAACUCUCUGAGAAUCUGACCAGUGACCAUCCUGCAUCUUCUUUUUAUCCUCUGU